CAACACAUGAGUUGUGUAACUGACGUUGCGGGUAUUUGGUCACAGUUCGGUGAACUAUUUGCUACUUACUAAUUCAACUAUGGGCUCACCUAUCUGCGCUCGUACGGCGGCUAUUUUGCUCUCUCUUCCAGAGCUGAAUGUGCCCACAUAUUUUCGACUUCUUUAAGUGAUUGGGCCGUCACAGGUUGACGUCACGCCUUGGCUCAUUGUGCAAUGUUGGCGGAAUUUAGUCGGAUCUGCUUUUCUCAUCCAUUCACCUUUAUUAAAUACCAUCACGAUCAUUUUCGGCUCUGUAAAUAGUCUCAAUUUCCCGAUUGGAAGACUCGUGAGAAAGAGUAGCAGUGAGCACAUACAGAUGUAGCUAAAAAUAUCUCAGAAUUAAUAGCAACAAUUUCUAGCUACAAUUAGCCACAAGUAGCAACUAAAAAUUCAGGGAUCCUAGAAAUUACUUCCUACAAGUGUCCAUGCACAAUUUUUACGUAGCGGCCAGAGAGAAUAGAGGUCAGAGGAAUACGCUCAAAGUCCCCCUGCUAUAUGAGUCGUCAUCGUCAUGCGUGUCAUGCACACUUGAACUAAUUACAUUUAAAAUUUGGAGUUACAUCAAUUAGUUGAUUCAGUCGUCAAAAUAAUAUUUUUUAUUUCUUACUAAAACAAUUUCAUUCGUUGCGUAUUCGCAUCUCGUUACAAAAAUUGUUUCACAUUUUCGACAUGCUCAUUUUAAAAUAGCUGAUGUCAUUUUUUUCUGUACUUGUAAUAAUUACUUUUUAUACGUCGUUGACAUACACAACUUUACGUAUCAUUUGGGAUAUAAACACAGUACAAGUACAA
Folsomia candida is the source of this 828-nucleotide long non-coding RNA. RefSeq lists it as uncharacterized. The record is from RefSeq and is a predicted model, not a curated record. Lineage: Eukaryota; Metazoa; Arthropoda; Collembola; Entomobryomorpha; Isotomidae. The transcript has 2 exons.